This is a long non-coding RNA of Mustela erminea (ermine), 581 nucleotides long. RefSeq lists it as uncharacterized. The record is from RefSeq and is a predicted model, not a curated record. Lineage: Eukaryota; Metazoa; Chordata; Mammalia; Carnivora; Mustelidae. The transcript is spliced from 3 exons.
CUAAGCCACCCAGGCGCCCCUCACGCCUGCAUUCUAACAACGUGCUUGCAUGACCUUGAAAAUGUGCGCGGCUCAGCUCAAGGUCUGGGGAAUGUCAAGGGGAGAGAACCCCACGGCAAAAUGCCCCACUAUGCUCUGAAUCUAUUACCACUAUGCCAAAGAUAUACUUCACCGAAAGAAAGAAAGAGAAGUAACAAUUCCACUGAGAUGAAGCUUAGUCAAGAAUCAAGACUGGGUAACUUUGAAAAUCACCAAUUCAUUCUUGGUGUUCUGCUGACCUCUGGUGGAGACUGCUUUUAACUACAACAAAUUGAAAGUCGAUUUGGGAAUGAAAUCUACUCUGCAUUAAAUUUCUCCUUUGAUAUUAGACACAUGGAGGAAGCACUCUGUGAUUAUGCCAUAGAUGUCCUUUCUCAGGCUGUGUCCGUGCCACAGAAUCACACAGAGGGGAUGACUGUGCUCCCUGCUGCCAUUGAUUGGUACGCACCUUCUCCCAGGUACUCGCAGGAAGAAUCUGCUUUGCAUGAAAUCUGUAAGUAGAGGGGGCGCCUGGGUGGCUCAUUCGGUUAAGUGUCUGCCUU